RNAcentral lists this ribosomal RNA (263 nucleotides) under uncultured Stenotrophomonas sp. RNAcentral's name for it is "partial 16S ribosomal RNA". It matches the Rfam family "Bacterial small subunit ribosomal RNA", at positions 91 to 354 of the family's 1533-position model. Lineage: Bacteria; Pseudomonadati; Pseudomonadota; Gammaproteobacteria; Lysobacterales; Lysobacteraceae. The record is from RNAcentral.
CGGAGUGGCGGACGGGUGGAGGAAUACAUCGGAAUCUACUCUGUCGUGGGGGAGUAACGUAGGGAAACUUACGCUAAUACCGCAUACGACCUACGGGUGAAAGCAGGGAUCUUCGGACCUUGCGCGAUUGAAUUAGCCGAUGUCGGAUUAGCUAGUUGGCGGGGUAAAGGCCCACCAAGGCGACGAUCCGUAGCUGGUCUGAGAGGAUGAUCAGUCACACUGGAACUGAGACACGGUCCAGACUCCUACGGGAGGCAGCAGGC